UAAGCAUAUCAAUAAGCGGAGGAAAAGAAACCAACAGGGAUUGCCUCAGUAACGGCGAGUGAAGCGGCAACAAGCUCAAAUUUGAAAUCUGGCUCCUUGGGGGUCCGAGUUGUAAUUUGGAGAGGAUGCUUCGGGUGCGGCACCGGUCUAAGUCCCUUGGAACAGGGCGUCAUAGAGGGUGAGGAUCCCGUAUGUGACCGGCGACCAAGCCCAUGUGGAGCUCCUUCGACGAGUCGAGUUGUUUGGGAAUGCAGCUCAAAAUGGGUGGUAAAUUUCAUCUAAAGCUAAAUACCGGCCAGAGACCGAUAGCGCACAAGUAGAGUGAUCGAAAGAUGAAAAGCACUUUGGAAAGAGAGUCAAAAAGUACGUGAAAUUGUUGAAAGGGAAGCGCUUGUAACCAGACCUGCCGUCGGGUGCUCCGCGGGCAUUCUUGCCCGUCUACUCUCCCGCGAUCAGGCCAGCAUCGGUUUUGGCGGCCGGAGAAAGACUUGAGGAAUGUAGCUUCGCUUCGGGGAAGUGUUAUAGCCUCUUGUGCAAUACGGCCAGCCGGGACCGAGGACCGCGCUUCGGCUAGGAUGCUGGCGUAAUGGUUGCAAGCGACCCGUCUUGAAACACGGACCAAGGAGUCUAACAUCUAUGCGAGUGUUUGGGUGUCAAACCCAUGCGCGGAAUGAAAGUGAACGGAGGUGGGAACCCUUGAGGGCGCACCAUCGACCGAUCCGGAAGUUUACGGAUGGAUUUGAGUAUGAGCAUAGCUGUUGGGACCCGAAAGAUGGUGAACUAUGCCUGAAUAGGGUGAAGCCAGAGGAAACUCUGGUGGAGGCUCGCAGCGGUUCUGACGUGCAAAUCGAUCGUCAAAUUUGGGUAUAGGGGCGAAAGACUAAUCGAACCAUCUAGUAGCUGGUUCCUGCCGAAGUUUCGUAAGUUCUCCUCAGGACCACCCCCUAAUGAACCCUUGCUAACAAUCUUAAUAGCCUCAGGAUAGCAGUAACGUUUUCAGUUUUAUGAGGUAAAGCGAAUGAUUAGAGGCCUGGGGGAUGAAACAUCCUUCACCUAUUCUCAAACUUUCAAUAUGUAAGAAGUCCUUGUUACUUAGUUGAACGUGGACAUUUGAAUGCACCGUUACUAGUGGGCCAUUUUUGGUAAGCAGAACUGGCGAUGCGGGAUGAACCGAACGUGGGGUUAAGGUGCCGGAAUGUACGCUCAUCAGACACCAAGGGGAAAGACUUGUGGUGUCUCGCCGGGGGAUGGACCCCCCCGGCAUCAGUCUGCGAAAGGCGAGGUCUUUGACCUGUAGGGGUCGGCGGUCGCUCCAGCGAUGGCCUACCCUCUGCUGUCCCGUGAUUGGGGCAGCUCACAGAUCAAGCAAAGGCCGGCGGCCGGGUGCCGUUGGAGAUAUGAUCGGCCCCCGGAGGUUCACUCUGGGGAGCACGUGCAAAAGGUGUUGAUUCAUCUAGACAGCCGGACGGUGGCCAUGGAAGUCGGAAUCCGCUAAGGAGUGUGUAACAACUCACCGGCCGAAUGAAUCAG
RNAcentral lists this ribosomal RNA (1530 nucleotides) under Ramalina subwebbiana. RNAcentral's name for it is "LSU rRNA". It matches the Rfam family "Eukaryotic large subunit ribosomal RNA", at positions 35 to 1309 of the family's 3401-position model. Lineage: Eukaryota; Fungi; Ascomycota; Lecanoromycetes; Lecanorales; Ramalinaceae. The record is from RNAcentral.